ACGGGUGAGUAACGCGUGGGUAACCUGCCCUAUACAGGGGGAUAACAGUCAGAAAUGGCUGCUAAUACCGCAUAAGCGCACAGAGCUGCAUGGCUCAGUGUGAAAAACUCCGGUGGUAUAAGAUGGACCCGCGUUGGAUUAGCUUGUUGGUGGGGUAACGGCCCACCAAGGCGACGAUCCAUAGCCGGCCUGAGAGGGUGAACGGCCACAUUGGGACUGAGACACGGCCCAGACUCCUACGGGAGGCAGCAUG
This 253-nucleotide ribosomal RNA is filed under the name uncultured bacterium. RNAcentral's name for it is "partial 16S ribosomal RNA". It matches the Rfam family "Bacterial small subunit ribosomal RNA", at positions 102 to 353 of the family's 1533-position model. The record is from RNAcentral.